UGGAAAUCGGGAGGAAAGAAAGUUCAUUUAAGUGGAGAUAGAUAUAAGAAGGCUGCCAUGUUUUGUCCUUUCUGUGGCCAACAUCUGGGGACAGUUCAAGUGUUCUGUGGCUCCUGUGGCAAACAUGUACAGUUUGUGGCAGAAGUUGAACACAACAGCAUUCCAUAAGGAGGGUCAGGAACUCACGCUUGGGACCACCAGUGUCCACUCCAUCCUCAGUGUGUCCCUCCUCCUCAGUGAACUUAACUGACCUUUCAUGAGAGGGAUCGAAUGAGGCACCUUUGAAGCCGCGGAUUGCUCCAUCCCAUACACUGGCUCUAUUCAUAUUGAACCUGCUGCAAGAUGUAUUUGUUCUUUUUGCAGAGAGUUCUGCAACAAUGUCCUACGCAGUCAGGUAUUCUGUGCUGGGAAAGACAAAGUGAUGUAUUGUAAUAUUAAAUGAUGAAGCUAUAAUAAGAUUUACAGUAUAGAUAGAACAAUUAAGUGGUAAUAGUAACAAUUAAUACCUUUGCUCCAUUUUGUCUUCUGGCUCAGACUGGCUAUCAAUAAUGAGAAGUGCAUUCACAUUUGUGUAGUUGCUGCAGUGAGAAGACAGUUGAAUAAUUAUUUUCAAAUACAUAAUAUAUGCAUGACAGUCAUAUUUA
This is a long non-coding RNA of Gymnodraco acuticeps, 644 nucleotides long. RefSeq lists it as uncharacterized. The transcript has 3 exons. Lineage: Eukaryota; Metazoa; Chordata; Actinopteri; Perciformes; Bathydraconidae. The record is from RefSeq and is a predicted model, not a curated record.